This is an RNA transcript of Juglans regia (Persian walnut), 2010 nucleotides long. RefSeq lists it as uncharacterized. NCBI's taxonomy places the organism in Eukaryota, Viridiplantae, Streptophyta, Magnoliopsida, Fagales, Juglandaceae. The record is from RefSeq and is a predicted model, not a curated record. The transcript has 10 exons.
AUUAAUUAUCCCGUUUGGUUUUGUUUGGGAUUGGCACAUAUUCCGUAUUCACGGACCAGAGGUAGCACCGGGAGCACGAGUUUGGGCGGGAACAAGGGAAUAGAACCAGCGAUCGGUUGAUUCUCAUGGCUUCUACGACUGGUCUGGACCAAAACGAGUCCUACGAUGAUGGUUCAUCAUCUUACUUCCAGAAAACAGUAUGCUUGCACGAUUGGUGGUUAAUCAAAGCUGAAGAGGACUUUGAAGGGAAACGACUAGCCGUUGCGGGCUUCACCUCGCGAGAGCAACAAGCAGUGCGUGUGUUUUCAUCUGCACCAGUACUCAAAAGAUACGAUAUGUUUACCCUGGAGACAGCUGACGGGAUUUGUGUUUUUAUUAAAGGAUUCAUUAACAAGCUGCGGACUAGCGAUAAUGGAUUUCCAUCCGAGGUUUUUAGUCAUUUUGUGUUUGGCUUUCCUCCCAACUGGGAAGAAUUUGCUGCAAAGCUCUUGGAAGGAGAUUCUACCACUUGUGUUCAUUCAGGACAUAUUUCUGCACCAGAUGAGUUUGCCACUCAUCCAGGAUUGGUUGUAGACAAUAAAAAUUCGAGUCCAGCUACAAAACAAACUCCAAAAACUCACCAGCUGUUCGUUCAUGAAAAUAAGCAUGAUAUUGAACCUUUAAAAAGUCGUUUUCAUACUGUUUCUGAGAAUAUCACCAUUGAUGCUUCAAAUGGUUCUAAGUUGUGUAAGCAUGCGACCAAAGAUGGAACAGAAGUGAAUGUUACACCUUGUGAUUUUCGGAGUAGGAGUUCCGCUAGAUUGAAGAAUCUGAAAGGCAAUUUGCAUAAUAACCCCGAAUCUAGAUAUUCUGUGAAGCAUAGAAACAAAAACUUGAGUCCCACAUUUGAUGCAUUUGAAAACACUGAUGGAGCAAAAAUGAAUAGUUCGUCAAGAACCACCAUUCAAUCUGAGGGGAGAAUGGACAUAUCAGACAGCCUUCCUGGAUAUUCUAUGGGCCAAGUUUUUGGAAAUUUGUCUGUGGAUGUAGGAAGCAAACAGAAAGAAGAGAAAAUGGCAGUCAAUGGGUCAAAAAGUAAAAGAAAUAAGAUGAAUUCCAUUCCCUUUGUUUCUGAUGAUCUGAGCAAUAUUGUACAGAAUAAUAACUGUGAAUUUGAGGGCAUUGGCGCAUCCAGCCCGUCUGCUGAUGAAGUUCAAGACCCAAGGCAUCCGACUGUCCUUAGAAAAGUUGAUGCUGAAUGUGCUGGAGGUGGUUCUCUGCAGAAAUCCAAUGUAAAACAUCCGCUAAACUGUGGAAACAAUAUGACUCAAGGUGAUUUGAAGACAAGGAACGAUAAUUCAGCUAGGUCUCCCAUUUUGCGUCGUACAAAGGACUUGAAGAAUGCAGUAAGGGAAGGAGAAAACAAUGCUAAGGAAGAAAGCAUGUGCAGUAAGAGAGAUUUUAUUUAUUCUCCAGAGUCUUUGAGUUUUGGAAGAUCAAGGUCAGGGAGACUACUGGUUCCUACAUUGGAAUUCUGGCGCAAUCAAUUGCCAGUUUAUGAUUCGGAUCGCAAAAUGACUGGAAUUAAGGAUGAGUUGAUUGUGAUAGGGCAGUCUAGAGGGAGUAUAUUGGAGCCUCAGAAAAAGAGAAGACAGUAGAAGUUAAUUUCACGUGCAGCUUUAGCACUUGCUGUUGAAAUUAAGGAACUUAAGAAGGGUAUUGAGUCAAAGUUACUGAAAUGUUAUAAAUUUGGACAGCUUUUGGGGUUCACCAUGUUUAAAAAGGUCCUGAAAAUCACAUGAAGUGGAGCUAGAUUUAUAUGGUGAAUAGGAGUGGACUUCCUUGAGGUUUUCAUUUUCCGAAUGUUAAAUGAUGUUUUGUUGUAUGAUAUAAACUUGAAUAUCAUGAUGUCUACCCUGCAGCGGUUGUAAUGUAAGACGACACCUACUGCAUGUUAACCUAAAAUGAAUUAAUUCCUGUAUGUUUGUGUAUUUGUUUAGAAAAAUGUUUUAGUCACAAAGUUCUACAAAA